RNAcentral lists this ribosomal RNA (558 nucleotides) under uncultured fungus. Its description in RNAcentral is "bacterial SSU rRNA". It matches the Rfam family "Eukaryotic small subunit ribosomal RNA", at positions 194 to 755 of the family's 1831-position model. Lineage: Eukaryota; Fungi. The record is from RNAcentral.
GGAAGGGGUGUAUUUAUUAGAUAAAAAACCAAUGCCCUUCGGGGCUCUUUGGUGAUUCAUGAUAACCUAACGGAUCGCAUGGCCUUGCGCCGGCGACGGUUCAUUCAAAUUUCUGCCCUAUCAACUUUCGAUGGUAAGGUAUUGGCCUACCAUGGUAUCAACGGGUAACGGGGAAUAAGGGUUCGAUUCCGGAGAGGGAGCCUGAGAAACGGCUACCACAUCCAAGGAAGGCAGCAGGCGCGCAAAUUACCCAAUCCCAAUUCGGGGAGGUAGUGACAAUAAAUAACAAUAUAGGGCUCUUUUGGGUCUUAUAAUUGGAAUGAGUACAAUUUAAAUCUCUUAACGAGGAACAAUUGGAGGGCAAGUCUGGUGCCAGCAGCCGCGGUAAUUCCAGCUCCAAUAGCGUAUAUUAAAGUUGUUGCAGUUAAAAAGCUCGUAGUUGAACUUCAGGCUUGGCUGGGUGGUCUGCUUAACGGCAUGUACUGUCUGGCUGGGUCUUACCUCUUGGUGAGCCGGUGUGCCCUUUAUUGGUGUGCAUUGGGGAACCAGGACUUUUAC